RNAcentral lists this ribosomal RNA (491 nucleotides) under uncultured bacterium. RNAcentral describes it as "partial 16S ribosomal RNA". It matches the Rfam family "Bacterial small subunit ribosomal RNA", at positions 29 to 507 of the family's 1533-position model. The record is from RNAcentral.
AGUGAACGCUGGCGGUAGGCCUAACACAUGCAAGUCGAACGGCAGCACAGUAAGAGCUUGCUCUUACGGGUGGCGAGUGGCGGACGAGUGAGGAAUACAUCGGAAUCUACUUUUUCGUGGGGGAUAACGUAGGGAAACUUACGCUAAUACCGCAUACUACCUACGGGUUAAAUCAGUGGAUCUUCGGACCUUUCGCGAUUGUAUUAGCCGAUGUCGGAUUGGAUGGUGGGCGGGGUAAAGGCCCACCAAGGCAACGAUCCGUAGCUGGUCCGAGAGGAUGAUCGGCCAAACGGAAACGGAGCACCGGUCCAGACUCCAACGGGAGGCGGCGUUGGGAAAUUUUGGCAAAUGGGCGAAGGCCGAACCAGGCAACGCGGGGGGGGUGAGAAGGCCUUCGGGUUGUAAAGCCCUUUUGUUGGGAAAGAAAAGCAGCAGGUUAAUACCCCGCUGUUCUGACGGUACCCAAAGAAUAAGCACCGGCUAACUUCGUG